This 339-nucleotide ribosomal RNA is filed under the name uncultured Leptolinea sp. Its description in RNAcentral is "bacterial SSU rRNA". It matches the Rfam family "Bacterial small subunit ribosomal RNA", at positions 1029 to 1381 of the family's 1533-position model. The record is from RNAcentral. Lineage: Bacteria; Bacillati; Chloroflexota; Anaerolineae; Anaerolineales; Anaerolineaceae.
CUUGCACAGGUGCUGCAUGGCUGUCGUCAGCUCGUGUCGUGAGAUGUUCGGUUAAGUCCGCUAACGAGCGCAACCCUCGCUGUGUGUUAUAUGUGUCACACGGGACUGCCGGUCUUAAGCCGGAGGAAGGUGGGGAUGAUGUCAAGUCAGCAUGGCCUUUAUAUCCUGGGCUACACACACGCUACAAUGGCCAGCACAGUAGGUUGCUAAGCCGCGAGGUGGAGCCAAUCCAUAAAGCUGGUCUCAGUUCAGAUUGCAGGCUGCAACCCGCCUGCAUGAAGAUGGAGUUGCUAGUAACCGCAGGUCAGCUAUACUGCGGUGAAUACGUUCCCGGGGCUC